CCUACGGGAGGCAGCAGUAGGGAAUCUUUCACAAUGGGCGAAAGCCUGAUGGCGCAACGCCGCGUGCAGGAUGAAGGCCUUCGGGUUGUAAACUGCUUUUAUAAGCGAGAAAUAUGAUGGUAACUUAUGAAUAAGGAUCGGCUAACUACGUGCCAGCAGCCGCGGUCAUACGUAGGAUCCGAGCAUUAUCCGGAGUGACUGGGUGUAAAGAGUUGCGUAGGUGGCAUAAUAAGUAGCUAGUGAAAUCUGGUGGCUCAACCAUUCAGACUAUUAGCUAAACUGUUAAGCUCGAGACCGUUAGGGGUAACUGGAAUUUCUAGUGUAGGAGUGAAAUCCGUAGAUAUUAGAAGGAACACCAAUAGCGUAGGCAGGUUGCUGGGACGGUUCUGACACUAAGGCACGAAAGCGUAGGGAGCAAACGGGAUUAGAUACCCGUGUAGUC
This 442-nucleotide ribosomal RNA is filed under the name uncultured bacterium. RNAcentral describes it as "partial 16S ribosomal RNA". It matches the Rfam family "Bacterial small subunit ribosomal RNA", at positions 338 to 795 of the family's 1533-position model. The record is from RNAcentral.